CUCCCUCCCCGCUGCCCUGCUGGGAACACCUACCCCCGCGCCCUCCCUUCCUCCUCCAGGACCACAUCUUGUCUCCGCCCUUUGGCGAGUCGCUGCUACACCUCUGCCUUUAGCUGCAGGUCCUGCAAAUGUUCCACGAACGCUUCAUCCACGACCCCAACAGACCCUAGGAUGCAUAGCGGCAGCAACAGCCCCUCCACGCUAGUCCUUUCUCACUAAGCCAGGAUGCCGGAGGGCCAGAGAUUGGCAUCAGUUUGGAGCCCAGCAGCCUCCGGAGGCCCUCCCUGCCUCUCACCUCACGCCGGAUGGAGGUUACUACUUGGCCAAACGAAGCAUUGACAGCUCAUAGAUGCUGGCCUUGACCCUGUGCAGAAAAAGACCCAGGAAAGGGUUCCUUUGUCCAACAUUCGUGAAGAACGAGCCAGCAGCUGUCAUCGGCACCCGGUUGGCUGGCACGUCCAUGUGGUGAAGCGACAGCGACGGUGCUCACCCCAGGACGGAGAGGUGGUGACUCAGGACAACUUGCCCCGUUCCCCAGGCGCGCCCAGCCAGCGCUGCAGCCACUCUGCUUCUGGGGCCUGGACGAGCUCCCCUCUCCUCCUGCCCCCACCCCUUCCCAGCCAAGGCCAGUCCAAGUGUAGGAGAAGCCUAGGACGUGCCAGGCUGCCAGGCUGCCAGGGCCCUAGAGGACCCCUCUGGCCAC
This 703-nucleotide long non-coding RNA is filed under the name Sus scrofa (pig). RNAcentral describes it as "lncRNA (ENSSSCG00070009672.1)". The record is from RNAcentral. Lineage: Eukaryota; Metazoa; Chordata; Mammalia; Artiodactyla; Suidae.